GAUGAAGAACGCAGCGAACUGCGAUAAGUAAUGUGAAUUGCAGAAUUCAGUGAAUCAUCGAGUCUUUGAACGCACAUUGCGCCCCCUGGCAUUCCGGGUGGCAUGCCUGUCCGAGCGUCAUUGCUGCCCUUCAAGCCCGGCUUGUGUGUUGGGUCGUCGUCCCCCCCGGGGGACGGGCCCGAAAGGCAGCGGCGGCACCGCGUCCGGUCCUCGAGCGUAUGGGGCUUUGUCACCCGCUCGAUUAGGGCCGGCCGGGCGCCAGCCGGCGUCUCCAACCUUCUAUUUUACCAGGUUGACCUCGGAUCAGGUAGGGAUACCCGCUGAACUUAAGCAUAUCAAUAAGCGGAGGA
Molecule: unclassified non-coding RNA, 350 nt
Filed under: soil metagenome
Description: partial contains 5.8S ribosomal RNA, internal transcribed spacer 2, and large subunit ribosomal RNA
Rfam family: 5.8S ribosomal RNA (bases 1-120)
Source: RNAcentral